AACCCCGCCAAGGACCCACGCUGAGAAGAAAUAGAAAUCCAGGGGCCUAGGUGCAAAAGUACGAUAGAUGAACCACGUGAAGGACGUGAUAUUGGAACCGAACACGAAGACGAUGUUUGGUGGACAUAUUCAGAAGAGGCAAAGAACCAGGAGUACAUGCUUGGACCGGAAUACUCGCCAAGCGAGUGUCAUCUAACAAACACUGACCUAGUGUUAAUCCCAGG
Panicum virgatum (switchgrass) is the source of this 224-nucleotide long non-coding RNA. RefSeq lists it as uncharacterized. Lineage: Eukaryota; Viridiplantae; Streptophyta; Magnoliopsida; Poales; Poaceae. The record is from RefSeq and is a predicted model, not a curated record. The transcript has 2 exons.